Molecule: long non-coding RNA, 149 nt
Organism: Xenia sp. Carnegie-2017
Lineage: Eukaryota; Metazoa; Cnidaria; Anthozoa; Malacalcyonacea; Xeniidae
Exons: 2
Source: RefSeq, a predicted model, not a curated record
UUCCAGCUCAGAUGUGACCAAUUCUAUCAGUGGGGAUGAAGAACGUCAAAAGUUGCCAAUCAUUGGGGAAGAGGAAAUGACUAUGCAACAAGAUAUGGAAGGAGCUAAAGGGGAAGAUGAAGAAAACGAUCACCGGGACAGAAAGAACA